GGAAGUCUGACUUACAACUGGAGGCAGCAGCUCAUAGCUGAGGAUCCACAUUGAAGGCAACUACUGUCUGCUGUCAGUCAUUUACCGUCCAGCUCUUCCCAAACAUUAUUUGUGUUUCUCAAGGGACUUUUGACAUGAAGCUUUGCACACAAAUGGGAAGCACCUGGAUUCAAUUAUUUGUAGCUUUGAUUGUUCUUCAGAUGGCAGUUGUGUCGUCUGCAGAGGAGUCACCAUGUAAACCUGGUUUUGACUCAGAUUUGAUAUUCAAAGUGAACAGGAAGCAUCUGAAGAAAAGCACAAGACUGGGCAAAGUUGGAUUCACUGAUUGCACAGAUCGUACAAGGUUUCUCUUCAGCACAGAUGACAGUCACUUUGGGUUCAAUUCUGAUGGAGUAAUAACUGCAA
Non-coding RNA from Oryzias latipes (Japanese medaka), 405 nucleotides. The record is from RefSeq and is a predicted model, not a curated record. NCBI's taxonomy places the organism in Eukaryota, Metazoa, Chordata, Actinopteri, Beloniformes, Adrianichthyidae.